CCUACGGGAGACUGCAGUGGGGAAUAUUGCACAAUGGGCGAAACCCUGAUGCAGCGACGCCGCGUGAAGGAAGAAGUUCUUCGGUAUGUAAACUUCUGUCAGCAGGGAAGAAAAUGCCGGUACCUGACUAUGCAGCCCCGGGCAACACCGUGCCAGCAGCCGCGGUCAUACGUAGGGGGCAAGCGUUAUCCGGAUUUACUGGGUGUAAAGGGAGCGUAGGCGGUUUAGCAAGUCAGAUGUGAAAGCCCGGGGCUCAACCCCGGGACUUCAUUUGAAACUGUUGAACUAGAUUGCAGGAGAGGUAAGUGGAAUUCCAUGUGUAGCGGUGAAAUGCGUAGAUAUUAGGAGGAACACCAGUGGCGAAGGCGGCUUACUGGACUGUAAAUGACGCUGAGGCUCGAAAGCGUGGGGAGCAAACAGGAUUAGAUACCCGUGUAGUC
RNAcentral lists this ribosomal RNA (440 nucleotides) under uncultured bacterium. RNAcentral's name for it is "partial 16S ribosomal RNA". It matches the Rfam family "Bacterial small subunit ribosomal RNA", at positions 338 to 795 of the family's 1533-position model. The record is from RNAcentral.